This 711-nucleotide ribosomal RNA is filed under the name uncultured Enterobacterales bacterium. RNAcentral's name for it is "bacterial SSU rRNA". It matches the Rfam family "Bacterial small subunit ribosomal RNA", at positions 62 to 762 of the family's 1533-position model. Lineage: Bacteria; Pseudomonadati; Pseudomonadota; Gammaproteobacteria; Enterobacterales. The record is from RNAcentral.
UCGAGCGGUAGCACAGGGGAGCUUGCUCCCCGGGUGACGAGCGGCGGACGGGUGAGUAAUGUCUGGGAAACUGCCUGAUGGAGGGGGAUAACUACUGGAAACGGUAGCUAAUACCGCAUAACGUCGCAAGACCAAAGAGGGGGACCUUCGGGCCUCUUGCCAUCAGAUGUGCCCAGAUGGGAUUAGCUAGUAGGUGGGGUAAUGGCUCACCUAGGCGACGAUCCCUAGCUGGUCUGAGAGGAUGACCAGCCACACUGGAACUGAGACACGGUCCAGACUCCUACGGGAGGCAGCAGUGGGGAAUAUUGCACAAUGGGCGCAAGCCUGAUGCAGCCAUGCCGCGUGUGUGAAGAAGGCCUUCGGGUUGUAAAGCACUUUCAGCGGGGAGGAAGGUGUUGUGGUUAAUAACCGCAGCAAUUGACGUUACCCGCAGAAGAAGCACCGGCUAACUCCGUGCCAGCAGCCGCGGUAAUACGGAGGGUGCAAGCGUUAAUCGGAAUUACUGGGCGUAAAGCGCACGCAGGCGGUCUGUCAAGUCGGAUGUGAAAUCCCCGGGCUCAACCUGGGAACUGCAUUCGAAACUGGCAGGCUAGAGUCUUGUAGAGGGGGGUAGAAUUCCAGGUGUAGCGGUGAAAUGCGUAGAGAUCUGGAGGAAUACCGGUGGCGAAGGCGGCCCCCUGGACGAAGACUGACGCUCAGGUGCGAAAGCGU